UAACCUUAAGUGUCUCGAGCUUCAGUCAGACUCUACACAAGCUUCUUCCUCUCUCUGUCGCACGAACAGCUUCUUCUCUCCGUCGCGCGAACAACUUCUUCUCUCCGUCGCACGAGCUUUUUCCGCCGUUGCCGCCGUUCGCGUCGCACGAGCUUCCUCCGCCGCCGCUCUCGUCGCAUCUGCUCCCUUCAUCGCCGUCAUCACAGAGCUCUCUCUUGUCGCGUUUGCUCCCUUAGUGAAUUUCAGGUUUAUCAAUUAUUUUAUUAUCAACGAAGAAAGAGAUUUUUUGUCGAUCAUUUCUGCAGCAAUUUGUGAAACUCGGUGGUUGUUGUUGAAUGGCGAAGUUUGGAAUGAUAGUUGACUCUGUUGGUAACUUCUUCUCCGACAAAGACUAGCUUCCCUAGUGUGACCCUGACAUCGUCGCUGGGUGUGAGAGAGAGGUUGCUGAGGCUGGGAAGCAAUCCAAUGAUUUUGUUCCCCAGAUGCUGGUUCAAUAUCCAAGUAGUAGUGAUCUGACACACAUCAAAGAUUCAAGCGAGAAUUUCAGGCAAACAAACUGAGGCAAGACACUGCUUGACAACCAAAUCCAAUGAUUCGGAGGAUUCUUUAACUGAUGGGAGCAGAAGUAACCUUUUGGAAGUUAAUG
Molecule: non-coding RNA, 646 nt
Organism: Arachis ipaensis
Lineage: Eukaryota; Viridiplantae; Streptophyta; Magnoliopsida; Fabales; Fabaceae
Source: RefSeq, a predicted model, not a curated record